GCCAGCAGCCAUACAGUAUCACCCUGCAGCUCUCAACUGGCUGCCCACUGAAGCUAAGCAGGGUUGAGCCUGGUCAGUACCUGGAUGGGAGAUCUCAUGAGAAGCUACGGUUGCUGCUGGAA
Molecule: ribosomal RNA, 122 nt
Filed under: Lepisosteus oculatus (spotted gar)
Lineage: Eukaryota; Metazoa; Chordata; Actinopteri; Semionotiformes; Lepisosteidae
Source: RNAcentral